Molecule: transfer RNA, 71 nt
Filed under: Marmota monax (woodchuck)
Lineage: Eukaryota; Metazoa; Chordata; Mammalia; Rodentia; Sciuridae
Description: tRNA.Ala
Rfam family: tRNA
About the family: Transfer RNA (tRNA) molecules are approximately 80 nucleotides in length. Their secondary structure includes four short double-helical elements and three loops (D, anti-codon, and T loops).
Source: RNAcentral
GAGGUUGUGGCUCAGCGGUAGAGCGCUCGCCUAGCAUGUGUGAGGCCCUGAGUUCGAUCCUCAGCACCACA